AGUGAACGCUGGCGGUAGGCCUAACACAUGCAAGUCGAACGGCAGCACAGUAAGAGCUUGCUCUUACGGGUGGCGAGUGGCGGACGGGUGAGGAAUACAUCGGAAUCUACUUUUUCGGGGGGGAUAACGUAGGGAAACUUACGCUAAUACCGCAUACGACCUACGGGUGAAAGCAGUGGAGCUUCGGACCUUGCGCGAUUGAAUUAGCCGAUGUCGGAUUAGCUAGUUGGCGGGGUAAAGGCCCACCAAGGCGACGAUCCGUAGCUGGUCUGAGAGGAUGAUCAGCCACACUGGAACUGAGACACGGUCCAGACUCCUACGGGAGGCAGCAGUGGGGAAUAUUGGACAAUGGGCGAAAGCCUGACCCAGCCAUACCGCGUGAGUGAAGAAGGCCUUCGGGUUGUAAAGCCCUUUUGUUGGGAAAGAACAGCAGCAGGUUAAUCCCCCGCUGUUCUGACGGUACCCAAAGAAUAAGCACCGGCUAACUUCGUG
This 492-nucleotide ribosomal RNA is filed under the name uncultured bacterium. RNAcentral describes it as "partial 16S ribosomal RNA". It matches the Rfam family "Bacterial small subunit ribosomal RNA", at positions 29 to 507 of the family's 1533-position model. The record is from RNAcentral.